AGCUGAUGGCGUUGACCGUGGGUAAGUCACGACUUGAAUUGGGUUGUGAGGGAGAUAUAUGAUAUGGUGGAGGAAGAUUGAGGAGCUGUUGAUUUUAGGUUGUGUGGCUAGUGGUGAGGGGCGUUGGUGAUGGUGUUGCUAGACUGGGUGGUUGGUCAGAGGAGGUAUUCUGGUGAUGGGGUUUUUAUGUUUUGGGUUUUGUGGGAAGCUUUGGUGUUUGUGAUAGUUGGAGGAGACAAUGAAGGGUAAGGGAGCUUGUUUUUGUUUUUUUGGUUGUAUGUAGCUGAUGACUGGGUUUUGGAAUUGGGGCUAGGGUUUUUUUUUUUUUUAAUAUAGAUAUCAGGAGAGAAUGUAUGCAUAACUUUUUUUAUUAUUAUUUUU
RNAcentral lists this long non-coding RNA (381 nucleotides) under Populus trichocarpa (black cottonwood). Its description in RNAcentral is "long non-coding RNA (PTRI_LNC004199)". Lineage: Eukaryota; Viridiplantae; Streptophyta; Magnoliopsida; Malpighiales; Salicaceae. The record is from RNAcentral.